GAAGCACGCCAGACUGCCGCUGGUGCAAGGGUGGAAACACCGCACUGGAGGAAGGUCCGGACUGCAUAGGGCAGCGUAGCAGCUAACAGCUGUCCACCGUGAGGUGAGGAUCAGAGCUACAGAGACGAGCCGGUUAAGUCCGGGUGAAACGAGCAAUCUCUACGCGCAGCAAUACCAAGUAGGCACACGUUGACGGGGCCCCCGGAGUGUGCGGGUAGGUAGCACCGAGCCGUCUGGCGAC
Molecule: RNase P RNA, 241 nt
Filed under: Polaromonas sp.
Lineage: Bacteria; Pseudomonadati; Pseudomonadota; Betaproteobacteria; Burkholderiales; Comamonadaceae
Description: partial RNase P RNA component class A
Rfam family: Bacterial RNase P class A
About the family: Ribonuclease P (RNase P) is a ubiquitous endoribonuclease, found in archaea, bacteria and eukarya as well as chloroplasts and mitochondria. Its best characterised activity is the generation of mature 5'-ends of tRNAs by cleaving the 5'-leader elements of precursor-tRNAs. Cellular RNase Ps are ribonucleoproteins.
Source: RNAcentral